UACAUAGGGGGCGAGCGUUGUCCGGAAUCAUUGGGCGUAAAGCGCGUGUAGGCGGCCCUGUAAGUCGAAUGUGAAAUCUCCGGGCUUAACCCGGAAACUGCACUCGAUACUGCAGGGCUUGAGGUAGGUAGAGGAGAGUGGAAUUCCCGGUGUAGCGGUGGAAUGCGCAGAUAUCGGGAGGAACACCAGUAGCGAAGGCGGCUCUCUGGGCCUUACCUGACGCUGAGACGCGAAAGCGUGGGUAGCAAACAGG
Molecule: ribosomal RNA, 253 nt
Filed under: uncultured bacterium
Lineage: Bacteria
Description: partial 16S ribosomal RNA
Rfam family: Bacterial small subunit ribosomal RNA
Source: RNAcentral